AAUGAACGUUGGCGGCGUGGAUUAGGCAUGCAAGUCGAGCGCUCAUAGCAAUAUGGGAGCGGCGAACGGCGUAGGAAUUCAUAGGAACGUACCCUCAGGACGGGGAUAGCUACGGGAAACUGUAGGUAAUACCCGAUGAUCUCCGCGGAGCAAAGGUGUGAUUCCGCCUGAGGAGCGGCUUAUGCGAUAUUAGCUAGUUGGUGGGGUAAUGGCCUACCAAGGCGACGAUGUCUAGGGGGUGUGAGAGCAUGGCCCCCACGACCGGAACUGAGAUACUGUCCGGACACCUACGGGUGGCUGCAGUCGAGAAUCUUCCGCAAUGGACGAAAGUCUGACGGAGCAACGCCGCGUGCGGGAUGAAGGCCCUUGGGUUGUAAACCGCUUUCGGAGGGGAUGAAAUCCUCGAGGGUUCUCCCUCGAGGUUGACAGAGCCUCAAAAGAAGCACGGGCUAAGUACGUG
Molecule: ribosomal RNA, 460 nt
Filed under: uncultured bacterium
Lineage: Bacteria
Description: bacterial SSU rRNA
Rfam family: Bacterial small subunit ribosomal RNA
Source: RNAcentral